AAGUAUAUUGUUACUGUGCUUUGGGAUUAAAAUAAGUAACUACAGUUUAUAGAACUUGUAUACUGAUACACAGACGCUAAAAAGGGAAAGGGUUUAGAUGAGAAGCUCUGCUAUGCAAUCAAGAAUCUCAGCCACUCAUUUCUGUAGGGGCUGCAGGAGCUCCCUGUAAAGAGAGGUUAUGGAGUCUGUAGCUUCAGCAACCACUGAUCCACUUCCAGUCACUAUCCAUGAGUUUUUAUUUCCAAAUACAUGAAAUCAUAGGAAUUUCUGGUUUUUCCUGUUGGAGCCCAAGGAGCAAGGGCAGAAUGAGGAACAUGAU
Molecule: long non-coding RNA, 319 nt
Filed under: Pan troglodytes (chimpanzee)
Lineage: Eukaryota; Metazoa; Chordata; Mammalia; Primates; Hominidae
Description: lincRNA
Source: RNAcentral